GGACUGGGUCAGGGUUGAACUUGAGAGACUCCCUCCAGAUGAGCUCCUUGAUAUCUUCUUCGGUGAGCGAUGGCUGCUCGAAGUCGAAGCUGAAAGGCGCUGGGCAGACGGGUUCGUCGUUUAUCUCAUGAAGGGAUGCCAGGUAUGGGUGGCAUAGAGCCUCAUCAACUGCAAUUCCACAAAAGGAAAAGCAUCAAGGUUAGUAUGUUUCAAGAGAUUGCACCUUCUGCUCUUAGAAUGCAAGAAUAGUAGUUGCAUGAAUAUAAUUAUUCAGUUUCAACGAUUCAUUUCAGGGUCAUCUCAUAUCAUACCAUAUAUAUCAGACUGAAAAGGGCAGAAUUUCAAACGAUGAGGGCUACUUUGGGAACCUCAAAUCCCCUUCGGGGUUAGAGGGGAUUGAGGUGGAAAUGAACUAAUUUCCUCUCCAAUCCCCUUCAACCCCGAAGAGGAUUUGAGUUUCCAAACUAGCGCUCUUCGGGAUUUGAGUUUCCAAACUAGCGCUGAAAGGUUCUUUCUUUCCUGUCUGGACGAGGGCAAUUGAGCUAGAAUUUAGCUCUACUCUGGACUAUAUAUCCCAGCAAAAUAUACUGCAUCCAGGCAAGCAUGUCACACAUUUUAUAUGAUAUCAAUGCAGCAAGUUCAUGCAGAGCUGCAGGAUUAACAGUAAUCCUCUUGCUCGGAUCAAACACGAGCAUCCUCUCAAGCAAAUCCAUGGCACCACCACUGCACAUAGCGGGGAACUGCGCACGGAACUGUAAUCGAUCAGUGGUCUGAAGCGAAAUGAAAGAUAGAAACGGAGAACUGACGGCGGCACGGCAUUACUGUACUACCUGGCAGUGGUCAUCGGUCAGUGGCUGGUUGGAUCGUAGGAGGUGGUGAAGGUCGGUGUCCAUCAGCUCGUAAACAACGUAGGCGUCGUUGAAGUUCUCCCUUCUGGGUGGUCGUAAACAAUGUAUAUACGUACGUACACACACACAUGUAGCCAACAUAUGCAGCAUACAAUAAUCAUAUAACAGCCAGUCAUCACCACAAGCUUUUGAUGAGAUGAAAAGAACAUGUAGCUAUACACCCUUUUUUGUGGCCACCGC
Molecule: long non-coding RNA, 1088 nt
Filed under: Zea mays
Lineage: Eukaryota; Viridiplantae; Streptophyta; Magnoliopsida; Poales; Poaceae
Description: long non-coding RNA (ZMAY_LNC002224)
Source: RNAcentral